AUCACUUGUCCUUUAAAUGAAGACCUGUAUGAAUGGCUAAACGAGGGCUUAGCUGUCUCCUCCCCCCGGUCAAUGAAAUUGAUCUCCCCGUGCAGAAGCGGGGAUACUUACAUAAGACGAGAAGACCCUAUGGAGCUUUAGACACUAGACAGCCCACGUUAAACUUCCCCCCAAAAGGGAAAAAACAUUGUGACUCCUGUCUCUCCUGUCUUCGGUUGGGGCGACCGCGGAGGAUAAAAGAGCCUCCAUGUGGACCGAGGUUACUAACCUCACAACUAAGAGCUGCAGCUCCAAGCAACAGAAAUUCUGACCAAAAUGAUCCGGCACAUGCCGAUUAACGGAACAAGUUACCCUAGGGAUAACAGCGCAAUC
This 372-nucleotide ribosomal RNA is filed under the name Thaleichthys pacificus (eulachon). RNAcentral's name for it is "partial 16S ribosomal RNA". It matches the Rfam family "Bacterial large subunit ribosomal RNA", at positions 1964 to 2487 of the family's 2925-position model. The record is from RNAcentral. Lineage: Eukaryota; Metazoa; Chordata; Actinopteri; Osmeriformes; Osmeridae.